UCUAUUAUUUGAAAAUAUAAAAAAAAAAAGAGAGAAAAAAGUAGUGUGAUUUUAUAUAAUCUAUUGUUUCGUAGAGAUUCAACACCUACAAAAGUUUAUCUAGGAAUAUCAAUGAUAUACAUAGGGAAUCAGACGAAUAUUAUGUUAUUAUAACCUUUUAGAUAAACAUAUAAAUGGGUUAAGAUUCUAAAAUCUUGUGUACAGCCAGCAGGCAGGUAACGAGUGGGUCCUAGCUAAUAAUAAGAUGGGCU
This 251-nucleotide long non-coding RNA is filed under the name Panax ginseng (ginseng). Its description in RNAcentral is "long non-coding RNA (PGIN_LNC018958)". Lineage: Eukaryota; Viridiplantae; Streptophyta; Magnoliopsida; Apiales; Araliaceae. The record is from RNAcentral.